GUUCAGGGGUAAACCUAAGAAACCCAAAAGAUCGAACGGGGAGAUUCAUCGUCAGCGACGCUGGCUUCGCGUCGGUGGGCGAUGCCCCGCGGGGCCUCGCGGCUCUCGCGCGGGCACGCUGCCGUGCGCCGAUGUCCGGCGUUCGUCGUCGUGCACUUCUCCCCUAGUAGAACGUCGCGACCCGCUGGGUGUCGGUCUACGGCCCGGGUGCGGUGACUGACGCGCCGCCGGUAAAACGGCACGCGUCAAACCCUCGGUAGCCCGGCCGGCUGCCCGGCGGUACACGCAAGGUAUCAGGCCGCAAGCCGAGCUUGCUCGGUGAAUGCGUCGAGGCCGUCGCAAGCGCGCGCCACGGUACACGGAGGCUAACGGACCUAGCGCCGUCACCGGUCCUGGCCCGCUGUUGGUCUUGUUUUAAACGGAUAACCUUCGACAGGCCUGCUAACGUCCUCCCUCCGGGGGGGACCGAUACCGGUCGGCGACGCUACUGCUUUGGGUACUCUUAGGACCCGUCUUGAAACACGGACCAAGGAGUCUAACAUGUACGCGAGUCAUUGGGACUGAGCGAUACCUAAAGGCGCAAUGAAAGUGAAGGUCGUCCCUGGUUGUCGACCGAGGGAGGAUGGGCCGCGUCGCGAUGCGGCUCCGCACUCCCGGGGCGUCUCGUUCUCAUCGCGAGAAGAGGCGCACCCAGAGCGUACACGUUGGGACCC
RNAcentral lists this ribosomal RNA (713 nucleotides) under Aenictus ceylonicus. RNAcentral describes it as "partial large subunit ribosomal RNA". The stretch from base 526 to 713 matches the Rfam family "Eukaryotic large subunit ribosomal RNA", at positions 665 to 817 of the family's 3401-position model. Lineage: Eukaryota; Metazoa; Arthropoda; Insecta; Hymenoptera; Formicidae. The record is from RNAcentral.